GAUGAACGCUGGCGGCGUGCUUAACACAUGCAAGUCGAACGGAAAGGCCCUGCUUUUGUGGGGUGCUCGAGUGGCGAACGGGUGAGUAACACGUGAGUAACCUGCCCUUGACUUUGGGAUAACUUCAGGAAACUGGGGCUAAUACCGGAUAGGAGCUCCUGCUGCAUGGUGGGGGUUGGAAAGUUUCGGCGGUUGGGGAUGGACUCGCGGCUUAUCAGCUUGUUGGUGGGGUAGUGGCUUACCAAGGCUUUGACGGGUCGCCGGCCUGAGAGGGUGACCGGCCACAUUGGGCCUGAGAUAGGGCCCAGACUCCUACGGGGGGCAGCGGUGGGGAAUAUUGCACAAUGGGCCGAAGCCGGAUGAAGCAACGCCGGGUGCGGAAUGACGGCCUUCGGGUUGAAAACCGCUUUCGCCUGUGACGAAGCUUGAGUGACGGUAAUGGGUGAAGAAGCACCGGCUAACUACGUG
This 468-nucleotide ribosomal RNA is filed under the name uncultured bacterium. RNAcentral's name for it is "partial 16S ribosomal RNA". It matches the Rfam family "Bacterial small subunit ribosomal RNA", at positions 28 to 507 of the family's 1533-position model. The record is from RNAcentral.